RNAcentral lists this ribosomal RNA (301 nucleotides) under uncultured bacterium. Its description in RNAcentral is "partial 16S ribosomal RNA". It matches the Rfam family "Bacterial small subunit ribosomal RNA", at positions 509 to 807 of the family's 1533-position model. The record is from RNAcentral.
CAGUAGCCACGGGAAUACGGAGGGUGCAAGCGUUAAUCGGAAUUACUGGGCGUAAAGCGUGCGUAGGUGGUGGUUUAAGUCCGUUGUGAAAGCCCUGGGCUCAACCUGGGAAUUGCAGUGGAUACUGGGUCACUAGAGUGUGGUAGAGGAUAGUGGAAUUUCCGGUGUAGCAGUGAAAUGCGUAGAGAUCGGAAGGAACAUCUGUGGCGAAGGCGACUAUCUGGGCCAACACUGACACUGAGGCACGAAAGCGUGGGGAGCAAACAGGAUUAGAUACCCCCGUAGUCCCUGUCUCUUAUAC